RNAcentral lists this ribosomal RNA (119 nucleotides) under Castor canadensis (American beaver). Lineage: Eukaryota; Metazoa; Chordata; Mammalia; Rodentia; Castoridae. The record is from RNAcentral.
GUCUAUGGCCAUAUCACCCGGAAUGCACCCGAUCUCAUCUGAUCUCAGAAGCUAAGCAGGGUCGAGCCGGUUAGUACUUGGAUGGGAAACAGAUCUUCAGAAGAGACUGCUCAGAGACA